GUGGACUCUGAUCCUUCUGAGGUCUUGGACUGCACUGAGCAACCUGGGGAUGCCCCGGAGCCUUUAACUCGUUACCACCCCUCACAAGUUCACCUCACCACACGCGACUAUGUGAAGCCCCAAGCUGAGGCUGCCAGCAGCUGUAAGCAAUAUGGUCUGCGUCGUUGCUCAUGGCAGGAACUUUGAGCUGGGACACAGUUUCACUCCGUAGAUGUAUUUCUCCUCUGAGGGAAGCCUAACACCCGAGCUGACCUUGCCCCCUUCUGAAAGGGAGGACCAUAUCUCACAGUGGCAACAGGAGGCUACAGGUCAGUGGGGUGAUGACCGGGCCCUCAGAGACCCUGCUCUCUCUCUUUACAAAACCCCAUAAAUCCUUCCAAAGGGAGUAAUUCCCUCAGGAUCAAGAGAGUCCUCCACAUUCCUAAAAUCAGUGAAGGCAAAAUGUACAGGGAUUUCUGAGAAAAGUAAAUGUGGUGUGAGCAUGAUCCCUGGGUGUUACUGUGCUGCAGAGAAGGCCCCCCCCUUCCCCCCCUGAAUGGUGUUCUUUGCUCUCAAGUUAACUCACGCACUGGACUUGGUCCAAGUACAUUUUGUUUCUUGAUUUCUAGCCAGGCUUCUCUCAGUUGUGGUGCAUUCUCCUCUUUGCUCCCCUCCCUCCCCCGCCCCCUUCUCUCUUUUUAUAAUUAUUUCAGCUUUUCCAUGUGACUGAACUGAUACAGAGGAAAACCCACCAGCUUAGGUAGGGCUUCCACCAGAGUGGGGCCAGAGGGACUCUGUGAACGGCCGGCCCCUCACUCAGCAAUGGCCUGCAUGGCAAGGUAUGUCUAAGAGCAGCUGAAGCAGAAAGCGUUUGAACUCUGCCCCUGCCAAAUGACUUCCAGAUGUGUAAACUCCAGCCUCCCUCUGCUCUCUGACUGUAGCCCUGCCAACAUACAUCUGCAGAUUUCUGGUGCACAGGAAACAUGAAAGAGUAUCUUCUACAACAUCUGUUCUCUUUCCCCAGCUCCCCACUCUGUCUUCUCGGACUUUGCCCUAUAUUUCAUCUCCUCCUAAACAAAGUCAUUAAGGAAUCACAGCACAACUCGCCUUGGCCCAUAGAUGCCAUCUCCCCCCUUCUCCCCCCUUCUCCCCCCAGAGCCUGUUCUUGGCUCUCUGGACGUUUGGCCAAAGCAACACAAGAAUCAUUAAAGACACGUAUUGACUUGCUGCAGGAGACAAGAACCAAGUUUUCUCUCCUGGGCAGGUGCCACUCCAUAAGCUGCAAAGGGAGAUUUUGGCCACAAGGAGGACCGAGCAGAGACCUGAAGAUGAAAACACGGGUCUCCAUGAAGAGUGUGCCCGCUUACACACCCUUGGGAGAAGGGAGAAGCAAGUCCUGAAGGAUCUUAGUGGGUGAAGGAAGAGAAGGUGAGCUUAGUGGGCCACCCUUCACAUGCAACUCAACACUGCCUGAACUUACAAGGCUGUAAGUAAAGACUUUGUUACUCACUGAUGGCUAAGAAAGGACUUAGGAGGCCCUGAGAAACAUCAACUGAAGUUGUAUAG
This 1545-nucleotide long non-coding RNA is filed under the name Felis catus (domestic cat). RNAcentral's name for it is "lncRNA (ENSFCAG00000043828.2)". Lineage: Eukaryota; Metazoa; Chordata; Mammalia; Carnivora; Felidae. The record is from RNAcentral.